This 505-nucleotide ribosomal RNA is filed under the name uncultured Acidobacteriota bacterium. RNAcentral's name for it is "bacterial SSU rRNA". It matches the Rfam family "Bacterial small subunit ribosomal RNA", at positions 355 to 848 of the family's 1533-position model. Lineage: Bacteria; Pseudomonadati; Acidobacteriota. The record is from RNAcentral.
UGGGGAAUUGUUCGCAAUGGGCGCAAGCCUGACGACGCAACGCCGCGUGGAGGAUGAAGACUUUCGGGUCGUAAACUCCUUUCGACCAGGAUGAAUUUCUGCCGACCUAACACGUCGGCAGGGUGACAGUACUGGGUGAAGAAGCCCCGGCUAACUCCGUGCCAGCAGCCGCGGUAAUACGGGGGGGGCGAAGCGUUGUUCGGAAUUACUGGGCGUAAAGGGUUCGUAGGUGGCCCGCUAAGUCAGACGUGAAAUCCCUCAGCUCAACUGAGGAACUGCGUCUGAGACUGGCAGGCUUGAGUGCAGGAGAGGAACGCGGAAUUCCAGGUGUAGCGGUGAAAUGCGUAGAUAUCUGGAGGAACACCGGUGGCGAAGGCGGCGUUCUGGACUGCUACUGACACUGAGGAACGAAAGCCAGGGGAGCGAAACGGGAUUAGAUACCCCGGUAGUCCUGGCCCUAAACGAUGAAUGCUUGGUGUGGCGGGUAUCGAUCCCUGCCGUGCCG